Molecule: non-coding RNA, 2562 nt
Organism: Tetranychus urticae (two-spotted spider mite)
Lineage: Eukaryota; Metazoa; Arthropoda; Arachnida; Trombidiformes; Tetranychidae
Source: RefSeq, a predicted model, not a curated record
CAUUUUGGCAUAAAUCUACUCACCUAAAGAAUCAAUGAUGACCAGAAUUUAAUAAUGCAAAAGAUUGAACAACAUAAAUAAAGACCAACUUGCUUUUUUCAAACAUAUGAUCACAGUCACGUGAUUUCUGUUAAUCGUGUUUACUGUAGUGCAAUUCAAAAUUCAAAUCUAUCAUUAAAGUAUUUAUGUGGUCGAAGUAUUCACGAGAAAAAUUUAGUUGGAAGUUUUUUUUUCGAUAUUUCAAUAAGUUAUAGAAUUGAUACGAACAUUAAACAAAUAAUUGAAUAAAGGAUAUUCAGUAAGUCAAUUCAGCCACCAAAAUCAGCUGGUCAAUGUUUCUGCAUCAAUCGCAUAAUGAUGUUUUCCCUAUUUUUGUAUUUAAAGCAUAUUGAAUCACCCUUCGAAUAAUAUAUUUGUGAAUAAUUGAAUAAUAACUCAACCUUGAAUACGAAUCAUCGAAGAAAUUCAUUAAAAAAUCCGUUCAACUCUAUACAUAAUGGGAAACAAAGUGGUUACAUUCACUGAUGAGCAAUUGGAAAAUUAUCAGGAUUGUACAUUUUUUACUCGGAAGGAGAUAUUAACGAUUUUCAAACGGUACCGAGAACUCGAUCCAAAAUCGGUUCCUCAAGUAAUGACUGGAGAUGAAGCUCAUACUGUAUCCUUGCCUUUGGAAAAAUUUGAAAAAAUGCCUGAGUUGAAGGAGAAUCCAUUUAGAAAUCGUAUAUGCAAAGUUUUCUCUCAUGAUGGCUCUGGAAAUAUGACAUUUGACGAUUUUCUUGAUAUGCUUUCAGUUUUCAGUGAAAGUGCACCUAGAGAUGUAAAAGUGUAUUAUGCAUUCAAAAUUUAUGAUUAUGACGAUGAUCAUUUUAUAUCGGGAAAAGAUAUUGAACAGACAACUAUUGCAUUAACCAAGAACCAAUUAUGUCCAGAGGAGAUUGCAGUUGUUCGUGAAAAGGUUUUGGAAGAGACUGACAAUGAUAGAGAUGAUAAAAUAUCUUUCACUGAAUUCCAACAUGUGAUCUCUCGAGCACCUGAUUUUCUCAGUACAUUCCAUGUUAGGAUUUAACGUGAAUUGGAACCAGAUCACCAUCAACUAGAAUUUCUUAGAUUUACAUUUGUUAUUCCAGCUAUUCAAAGCAACUACAUUUAUAUCGCGCAACAAUCAGUGACCUUAUGAUAACCUUUAACUGCUAAAUCCUGAAUUGCUAUUAAUUUGGACCAAAUCGGAUACCGGAAAACUAAGAAAUCACGAGUAUCAAAGCAUUAGUCUUGAUGUUUGAGGAUUACUUUAAAGAUUCAAUCUAUUAAUAUUACAAUCCAUCCACCACCAUAUCUAAUUAGAUUGUUCAAAGUAAACUUAGUGCACAUGAAAAUGAAUUGUAGGCGGAUUCUCAGCAGAUUGUUCAUCUUGUCAAUUUUUUAAAUACUGAUUACAAUCAGCUUUUAUAUACAACUUAGAGACAAAACUGAAUUGAUUACUGUUUACACAAUUGUAAAGAUGAUUGAUUACAAAAAUGGAGGACAAGAAGUUUAAGAGAGUCAAUGUUUUUGAUGGUUAAAGUUGCCUGCAAACGCCAACAAUCAACUAAUUUCGGAGUCCAUUUCAAAGAGUCAAAUCAAUUGACAUAUGGACUGUGAUUGUGUACCUUAAGGAUAGUCAUAAGUGAUAUGAUAAAUACUUUACUCAUCUUCAUUAUAUUAACCUCUGAUGGAAUAUUUAAUUAUACUUAGAUAUGCAGCUUAAAAAGAUUAGAUUAAUUAGAGGAGUUAUAAAAUACUAAAAUUCAAUUAGAGUGAUUAGAUUGAGUGAUAAAGAAAAGUUAUUUUAAUCGUUCAUUUCUUCUCAUUAAUUUGGCUGAUUAUGGAUGGCAAAAUAACAAUUUAUAAGUUCAUGGUCGCUUGAAGCAUUCAACUUGAAUUACAUUGAUGAUUGUUUAUUUACAUCAUUAUUGAUGAGUGUUAAUGCAUGUUUCAUCUUACUCUUUAUUUCAAAUACAAUCAUCUAAUUGUUCAAAUCUCAUUUCUACGCCUUUUCUUCCUCUCUCUAUUAAACUGAUAACGUUUUCAGUCUCAUAUGAUUUUCAGUGAAACUGUCGAUAUAAUUCAAUUGGUUUUUUGCCUUUCCUAUGCACUCGACAAUAGCUACUAAUACACUGCUGAUACCAUUGUUACUGCUGGUUGUUGGUAACCAUUUAGAUUAAAUUUAAAAUACUUUUCACCUAUUUUUUCAAUCAAUUUAUGUAUUAUGUACCAAUUCUGACUUAUUCAGCUCUAUUGCUUGAAACCUUUUGAUAACCAAUCAGCGAUUCUUUUGUUAAACAAAAUAACUGUAACCACAAUGAAAAUUUCAUUGAUUAUCAUCUGUUGUCAAUUCAAGGUCUCUUAAAAUUUAACCAGCUAAGAAGAUGGAAACAAUUCAAAUUGAAUUCCAGAGUAAAACAAUGAAUAUUUCCUGUAAUCAAAGUUAAUGGUAGAUUUGUAAUAGUUAUUGGCUACACUGAAUGGCCAUGAUAAUGGUUGACCUUAGCAAAUGAAUAAAUUUUGUAUUCCAUUCAAGUUAAA